Bombina bombina (fire-bellied toad) is the source of this 136-nucleotide small nucleolar RNA. RefSeq annotates it as small nucleolar RNA SNORA51. The transcript has a single exon. Lineage: Eukaryota; Metazoa; Chordata; Amphibia; Anura; Bombinatoridae. The record is from RefSeq and is a predicted model, not a curated record.
GCCCUCCCAUUGCUUACCACAGGCAGUGCUUGACCUUCCCACUGACUGUACAGGAAGCGGAGGAAAAUUAUUUUCUCUGUUUACACCACAGACUGGCUGACUAGGCCAUGACUGUAUUGUUAUCGGGGGGACAUUU